RNAcentral lists this ribosomal RNA (1644 nucleotides) under Escherichia coli. RNAcentral describes it as "partial 23S ribosomal RNA". It matches the Rfam family "Bacterial large subunit ribosomal RNA", at positions 1244 to 2866 of the family's 2925-position model. Lineage: Bacteria; Pseudomonadati; Pseudomonadota; Gammaproteobacteria; Enterobacterales; Enterobacteriaceae. The record is from RNAcentral.
AAGCCUGUGAAGGUGGCCUGUGAGGGUUGCUGGAGGUAUCAGAAGUGCGAAUGCUGACAUAAGUAACGAUAAAGCGGGUGAAAAGCCCGCUCGCCGGAAGACCAAGGGUUCCUGUCCAACGUUAAUCGGGGCAGGGUGAGUCGACCCCUAAGGCGAGGCCGAAAGGCGUAGUCGAUGGGAAACAGGUUAAUAUUCCUGUACUUGGUGUUACUGCGAAGGGGGGACGGAGAAGGCUAUGUUGGCCGGGCGACGGUUGUCCCGGUUUAAGCGUGUAGGCUGGUUUUCCAGGCAAAUCCGGAAAAUCAAGGCUGAGGCGUGAUGACGAGGCACUACGGUGCUGAAGCGACAAAUGCCCUGCUUCCAGGAAAAGCCUCUAAGCAUCAGGUAACAUUAAAUCGUACCCCAAACCGACACAGGUGGUCAGGUAGAGAAUACCAAGGCGCUUGAGAGAACUCGGGUGAAGGAACUAGGCAAAAUGGUGCCGUAACUUCGGGAGAAGGCACGCUGAUAUGUAGGUGAAGCGACUUGCUCGUGGAGCUGAAAUCAGUCGAAGAUACCAGCUGGCUGCAACUGUUUAUUAAAAACACAGCACUGUGCAAACACGAAAGUGGACGUAUACGGUGUGACGCCUGCCCGGUGCCGGAAGGUUAAUUGAUGGGGUUAGCGGUAACGCGAAGCUCUUGAUCGAAGCCCCGGUAAACGGCGGCCGUAACUAUAACGGUCCUAAGGUAGCGAAAUUCCUUGUCGGGUAAGUUCCGACCUGCACGAAUGGCGUAAUGAUGGCCAGGCUGUCUCCACCCGAGACUCAGUGAAAUUGAACUCGCUGUGAAGAUGCAGUGUACCCGCGGCAAGACGGAAAGACCCCGUGAACCUUUACUAUAGCUUGACACUGAACAUUGAGCCUUGAUGUGUAGGAUAGGUGGGAGGCUUUGAAGUGUGGACGCCAGUCUGCAUGGAGCCGACCUUGAAAUACCACCCUUUAAUGUUUGAUGUUCUAACGUGGGCCCCUUACCGGGGUUGCGGACAGUGUCUGGUGGGUAGUUUGACUGGGGCGGUCUCCUCCUAAAGAGUAACGGAGGAGCACGAAGGUUGGCUAAUCCUGGUCGGACAUCAGGAGGUUAGUGCAAUGGCAUAAGCCAGCUUGACUGCGAGCGUGACGGCGCGAGCAGGUGCGAAAGCAGGUCAUAGUGAUCCGGUGGUUCUGAAUGGAAGGGCCAUCGCUCAACGGAUAAAAGGUACUCCGGGGAUAACAGGCUGAUACCGCCCAAGAGUUCAUAUCGACGGCGGUGUUUGGCACCUCGAUGUCGGCUCAUCACAUCCUGGGGCUGAAGUAGGUCCCAAGGGUAUGGCUGUUCGCCAUUUAAAGUGGUACGCGAGCUGGGUUUAGAACGUCGUGAGACAGUUCGGUCCCUAUCUGCCGUGGGCGCUGGAGAACUGAGGGGGGCUGCUCCUAGUACGAGAGGACCGGAGUGGACGCAUCACUGGUGUUCGGGUUGUCAUGCCAAUGGCACUGCCCGGUAGCUAAAUGCGGAAGAGAUAAGUGCUGAAAGCAUCUAAGCACGAAACUUGCCCCGAGAUGAGUUCUCCCUGACUCCUUGAGAGUCCUGAAGGAACGUUGAAGACGACGACGUUGAUAGGCCGGGU